AACCCAAGAUGAGGGCACCUUCUCAAUAAAUCAUUGUAUCUCUCCCAUGCAUCAUAUAAAUCGAUCUGAACAAAGGAGGAAAUAUCAUUCCUAAACUU
Molecule: small nucleolar RNA, 98 nt
Filed under: Gossypium hirsutum (cotton)
Lineage: Eukaryota; Viridiplantae; Streptophyta; Magnoliopsida; Malvales; Malvaceae
Also listed under: 1 other name
Description: Plant small nucleolar RNA R71
Rfam family: Plant small nucleolar RNA R71
About the family: R71 is a member of the C/D box family of snoRNAs containing the C (UGAUGA) and D (CUGA) box motifs. Multiple nearly identical copies of this snoRNA have been identified in Arabidopsis, and it is thought to function as a 2'-O-ribose methylation guide for 18S ribosomal RNA.
Source: Rfam by way of RNAcentral